RNAcentral lists this unclassified non-coding RNA (307 nucleotides) under fungal sp. Its description in RNAcentral is "partial internal transcribed spacer region". The stretch from base 1 to 46 matches the Rfam family "Eukaryotic small subunit ribosomal RNA", at positions 1786 to 1831 of the family's 1831-position model. The record is from RNAcentral. Lineage: Eukaryota; Fungi.
AAGUCGUAACAAGGUUUCCGUAGGUGAACCUGCGGAAGGAUCAUUACAUAAUUAUAACAAAUGUGUGCAGGCAUGCGCGCGUUCCCUUCACCGGGGGCGCGCCUUGUCGGCCUCAUUUCAUAAACCCUUGUGAACCGUAACUGACACCUUUGGCGCAGCCCAUAUAUGGUCGUCGCAUCACUGCGAUGGCUGUGUAUUGCGCCAAACGGUACCAAACAAACUUAAACCAUUUACACAACAAUAUAAAGACUUAAUCUAAGAUUUUCUAAUUGAAAUACAACUUUUAACAAUGGAUCUCUUGGCUCUU